CCUACGGGAGGCAGCAGUGGGGAAUAUUGGGCAAUGGAGGAAACUCUGACCCAGCGACGCCGCGUGCGGGAUGAAGGCCUUCGGGUUGUAAACCGCUUUCAGCAGGGAAGAAGCGAAAGUGACGGUACCUGCAGAAGAAGCACCGGCUAACUAUGUGCCAGCAGCCGCGGUAAUACAUAGGGUGCAAGCGUUGUCCGGAAUUAUUGGGCGUAAAGAGCUCGUAGGUGGUUCGUCACGUCGGAUGUGAAAAUCUGGGGCUUAACCCCAGACCUGCAUUCGAUACGGGCGAGCUUGAGUAUGGUAGGGGAGUCUGGAAUUCCUGGUGUAGCGGUGGAAUGCGCAGAUAUCAGGAGGAACACCAAUGGCGAAGGCAGGACUCUGGGCCAUUACUGACACUGAGGAGCGAAAGCGUGGGGAGCGAACAGGAUUAGAUACCCUGGUAGUCCACGCCGUAAACGGUGGGCACUAGUUGUGGGGACCUUCCACGGUCUCUGCGACGCAGCUAACGCAUUAAGUGCCCCGCCUGGGGAGUACGAUCGCAAGNUUAAACUCAAAGGAAUUGACG
This 565-nucleotide ribosomal RNA is filed under the name uncultured bacterium. Its description in RNAcentral is "bacterial SSU rRNA". It matches the Rfam family "Bacterial small subunit ribosomal RNA", at positions 338 to 915 of the family's 1533-position model. The record is from RNAcentral.